Molecule: transfer RNA, 105 nt
Filed under: Colletotrichum cereale
Lineage: Eukaryota; Fungi; Ascomycota; Sordariomycetes; Glomerellales; Glomerellaceae
Description: tRNA-Val
Rfam family: tRNA
About the family: Transfer RNA (tRNA) molecules are approximately 80 nucleotides in length.
Source: RNAcentral
GGUCUGGUGGUGUAGUUGGUUAUCACGUCAGUCUAACAGGUUCGAGAGAUUCGCCUUUCUCGCCUGGCACACUGAAGGUCUCCGGUUCAAGUCCGGGCUAGAUCA